Molecule: ribosomal RNA, 435 nt
Filed under: uncultured Prevotella sp.
Lineage: Bacteria; Pseudomonadati; Bacteroidota; Bacteroidia; Bacteroidales; Prevotellaceae
Description: bacterial SSU rRNA
Rfam family: Bacterial small subunit ribosomal RNA
Source: RNAcentral
UGAGGGAAUAUUUGGGUCAAUGGACGUAAGUCUGAACCAGCCAAGUAGCGUGCAGGAUGACGGCCCUAUGGGUUGUAAACUGCUUUUAUGUGGGAAUAAAGUCAGGGACGUGUCCCUGUUUGCAUGUACCACAGGAAUAAGGACCGGCUAAUUCCGUGCCAGCAGCCGCGGUAAUACGGAAGGUCCGGGCGUUAUCCGGAUUUAUUGGGUUUAAAGGGAGCGUAGGCCGGAGAUUAAGCGUGUUGUGAAAUGUAGGUGCUCAACAUCUGCACUGCAGCGCGAACUGGUUUCCUUGAGUACGCACAAAGUGGGCGGAAUUCGUGGUGUAGCGGUGAAAUACUUAGAUAUCACGAAGAACUCCGAUUGCGAAGGCAGCUCACUGGAGCGCAACUGACGCUGAAGCUCGAAAGUGCGGGUAUCGAACAGGAUUAGAUA